This 766-nucleotide ribosomal RNA is filed under the name Enterococcus thailandicus. RNAcentral's name for it is "bacterial SSU rRNA". It matches the Rfam family "Bacterial small subunit ribosomal RNA", at positions 23 to 760 of the family's 1533-position model. Lineage: Bacteria; Bacillati; Bacillota; Bacilli; Lactobacillales; Enterococcaceae. The record is from RNAcentral.
CUCAGGACGAACGCUGGCGGCGUGCCUAAUACAUGCAAGUCGUACGCUUUUUCUUUCACCGGAGCUUGCUCCACCGAAAGAAAAGGAGUGGCGAACGGGUGAGUAACACGUGGGUAACCUGCCCAUCAGAAGGGGAUAACACUUGGAAACAGGUGCUAAUACCGUAUAACAAUCGAAACCGCAUGGUUUUGAUUUGAAAGGCGCUUUCGGGUGUCGCUGAUGGAUGGACCCGCGGUGCAUUAGCUAGUUGGUGAGGUAACGGCUCACCAAGGCCACGAUGCAUAGCCGACCUGAGAGGGUGAUCGGCCACAUUGGGACUGAGACACGGCCCAAACUCCUACGGGAGGCAGCAGUAGGGAAUCUUCGGCAAUGGACGAAAGUCUGACCGAGCAACGCCGCGUGAGUGAAGAAGGUUUUCGGAUCGUAAAACUCUGUUGUUAGAGAAGAACAAGGAUGAGAGUAACUGUUCAUCCCUUGACGGUAUCUAACCAGAAAGCCACGGCUAACUACGUGCCAGCAGCCGCGGUAAUACGUAGGUGGCAAGCGUUGUCCGGAUUUAUUGGGCGUAAAGCGAGCGCAGGCGGUUUCUUAAGUCUGAUGUGAAAGCCCCCGGCUCAACCGGGGAGGGUCAUUGGAAACUGGGAGACUUGAGUGCAGAAGAGGAGAGUGGAAUUCCAUGUGUAGCGGUGAAAUGCGUAGAUAUAUGGAGGAACACCAGUGGCGAAGGCGACUCUCUGGUCUGUAACUGACGCUGAGGCUCGAAAGC